GCCGACGUAGCUUAGUGGUAAAGCAUCCGACUUGUAAUCGGAUGAACGCAGGUUCGACUCCUGCCGUCGGCU
RNAcentral lists this transfer RNA (72 nucleotides) under Bacteroidota bacterium. RNAcentral's name for it is "Bacteroidetes bacterium tRNA-Thr". It matches the Rfam family "tRNA". Rfam says of the family: Transfer RNA (tRNA) molecules are approximately 80 nucleotides in length. Their secondary structure includes four short double-helical elements and three loops (D, anti-codon, and T loops). The record is from RNAcentral. Lineage: Bacteria; Pseudomonadati; Bacteroidota.